RNAcentral lists this ribosomal RNA (433 nucleotides) under uncultured bacterium. RNAcentral describes it as "partial 16S ribosomal RNA". It matches the Rfam family "Bacterial small subunit ribosomal RNA", at positions 29 to 507 of the family's 1533-position model. The record is from RNAcentral.
AACGAACGCUGGCGGCAUGCCUAACACAUGCAAGUCGAACGAGACCUUCGGGUCUAGUGGCGCACGGGUGCGUAACGCGUGGGAACCUGCCUUUAGGUUCGGAAUAACUCAGAGAAAUUUGAGCUAAUACCGGAUGAUGUCUUCGGACCAAAGAUUUAUCGCCUUUAGAUGGGCCCGCGUUGUAUUAGCUAGUUGGUGGGGUAAAGGCCUACCAAGGCGACGAUCCAUAGCUGGUCUGAGAGGAUGAUCAGCCACACUGGGACUGAGACACGGCCCAGACUCCUACGGGAGGCAGCAGUGGGGAAUAUUGGACAAUGGGCGAAAGCCUGAUCCAGCAAUGCCGCGUGAGUGAUGAAGGCCUUAGGGUUGUAAAGCUCUUUUACCCGAGAUGAUAAUGACAGUAUCGGGAGAAUAAGCUCCGGCUAACUCCGUG